RNAcentral lists this ribosomal RNA (490 nucleotides) under uncultured bacterium. Its description in RNAcentral is "partial 16S ribosomal RNA". It matches the Rfam family "Bacterial small subunit ribosomal RNA", at positions 29 to 507 of the family's 1533-position model. The record is from RNAcentral.
AAUGAACGCUGGCGGCAUGCCUUACACAUGCAAGUCGAACGGCAGCAUGACCUAGCUUGCUAGGUUGAUGGCGAGUGGCGAACGGGUGAGUAAUGCAUCGGAACGUGCCUUUUAGUGGGGGAUAACGUAGCGAAAGUUACGCUAAUACCGCAUAUUCUCUGAGGAGGAAAGCAGGGGGCCUUCGGGCCUUGCGCUAGAAGAGCGGCCGAUGUCGGAUUAGCUAGUUGGUGAGGUAAAGGCUCACCAAGGCAACGAUCCGUAGCGGGUCUGAGAGGAUGAUCAGCCACACUGGGACUGAGACACGGCCCAGACUCAUACGGGAGGCAGCAGUGGGGAAUUUUGGACGAUGGGCGCAAGCCUGAUCCAGCCAUGCCGCGUGAGUGAAGAAGGCCUUCGGGUUGUAAAGCUCUUUCGGCUGGGAAGAAAUCGCACUCUCUAAUACAGGGUGUGGAUGACGGUACCAGCAUAAGAAGCACCGGCUAACUACGUG